CUCAUGGAGAGUUUGAUUCUAGCUCAGGAUGAACACUAACAGCAUGCUUAACACAUGCAAGUCGAAUGGGAAGUGGUGUUUCUAGUGGCGGACGGGUGAGUAAUGCGUAAGAACCUGCCCUUGGAAGGGGAACAACAACUGGAAAUGACUAUUAAUACCUAGUAGGCUGAGGAGCAAAAGGAGGAAUCCGCCCAAUGAAGGGCUCACGUCUGAUUAGCUAGUUGGUGAGGCAAUAGCUUACCAAGGCGAUGAUUAGUAGCUGGUCCGAGAGGAUGAUCAGCCAUAUUAGGACUUAGACACGGCCUAGAAUCCUACUGAAGGCAGCAGUGGGAAAUUUUUUGCAAUGGGCGAAAACUUAACAGAGUAAUACCGUGUGGAGAUAGAAGGCCUACGAGUCAUGAACUCUUUUUUUGAAGAAGAAGCAAUGACGGUAUCUGGAGAAUAAGCAUCAGAAGAUGCAAGCAUUAUCUAGAAUGAUUGGGCGUAAAGCGUCUGUAGGUGUCUUUAAGUCCACCGUCAAAUCCCAAGGCUCAACCCUGGACAGGCGGUGGAAGCUACCAAGUUUGAGUACGAUAGGGGCAGAGGGAAUUUCUGGUGGAGCAGUGAAAUGCGUAGAGAUCGGAAAGAACACCAACGGUGAAAGAACUCUGCUGGGCUGACACUGACACUAAGAGAGGAAAGCUAGAGGAAUGAAUGAGAUUAGAUACCCCAGUAGUCCUAGCUGUAAAUAAUGUAUAUUAGGCGUUGUACAUAUCGACCCGUGUAGUGCUUAGCUAACGCGUUAAGUAUCCCGCCUAGGGAGUAUGUUUGCAAGAAUGAAACUCAAAGGAAUUGAUAGGGGCCUGCACAAUCGGUGGAGCAUGUGGUUUAAUCUGAUACAAAGCGAAGAACCUUACCAAGGCUUGACAUGCCUCGAAUCCUCUUGAAAGAGAGAGGUGCCUUCGGGAACGCAAACACAGGUGGUGCAUAGUUAUCGUCAGCUCGUGCCAUAAGGUGUUGGGUUAAGUCCCGCAAUGAGUACAAACCUCGUGUUUAGUUUCCACCGUUGAGGUUAAAACCCUGAGCAGACUGCCAGUGAUAAGCCGAAGGAAGGUGAGGAUGACGUCAAGUUAUCAUGCCCUUUAUGCCCUACGCAACACAUGUGCUACAAUAGACGGGACAAAAGGUCGCGAUCUCGCGAGGGUGAACUAACUCUAAAAACCCAUCCUCAGUUUGGAUUGUAGGCUGCAACUCACCUGCUUGAAGUCGGAAUCACUAGUAAUCACUGGUCAGCCAUACGGCGGUGAAUUUGUUCCCAAGCCUUAUACACACCACCCAUUACACUAUGGGAGCUAACCAUGCCCAAAGUCGUUACCUUAACCGCAAGGAGGGGGAUGUCGAAUAUAGGGCUAGUAACUGGAGUGAAGUCGUAACAAGGUAGCCGUACUAGAAGGUGCGGCUGAAUCACCUCCUUU
Gossypium hirsutum (cotton) is the source of this 1454-nucleotide non-coding RNA. Lineage: Eukaryota; Viridiplantae; Streptophyta; Magnoliopsida; Malvales; Malvaceae. The record is from Rfam.